GAUGAACGCUGGCGGCGUGCCUAAUACAUGCAAGUCGAGCGAACGGACGAGAAGCUUGCUUCUCUGAUGUUAGCGGCGGACGGGUGAGUAACACGUGGAUAACCUACCUAUAAGACUGGGAUAACUUCGGGAAACCGUAGCUAAUACCGGUUAAUAUUUUGAACCGCAUGGUUCAAAAGUGAAAGACGGUCUUGCUGUCACUUAUAGAUGGAUCCGCGCUGCAUUAGCUAGUUGGUAAGGUAACGGCUUACCAAGGCAACGAUGCAUAGCCGACCUGAGAGGGUGAUCGGCCACACUGGAACUGAGACACGGUCCAGACUCCUACGGGAGGCAGCAGUAGGGAAUCUUCCGCAAAGGGCGAAAGCCUGACGGAGCAACGCCGCGUGAGUGAUGAAGGUCUUCGGAUCGUAAAACUCUGUUAUUAGGGAAGAACAUAUGUGUAAGUAACUGUGCACAUCUUGACGGUACCUAAUCAGAAAGCCACGGCUAACUACGUG
Molecule: ribosomal RNA, 497 nt
Filed under: uncultured bacterium
Lineage: Bacteria
Description: partial 16S ribosomal RNA
Rfam family: Bacterial small subunit ribosomal RNA
Source: RNAcentral